CCUAUUUAAGUUGCUUAGCCUCUUCCUUUCCUCUAUCGUGUGAGAUCAUUCAAACUACAAAGGCACAUAUCUAUAGCAUCCUAGCUAUAUCUGGGUGAAGAAGCAAAAUGAAAAUGAGGCUUGUGGUAAUUGCACUAACAAUAUUGAUGCUUGCAAGUUCUUCUAUGGCUAUCCAUGUGAAGACUUUGGUGGCCAACAACAUGCUACAAGAGAAGGAGGGAGAACACAGUAAUGGUAAUAAUAAUGAGCAUCAAAUCCCUCUGAACCGCUAUAGUGAUAUCCAUGAAAUUCCUGGAACGGGUGGACCUGGCGAACGUACAGUCAGUGGCCACAUGGAAUAUACCAAACCAGCUAGCCCGAAUAGGAAUGGUUAAUUAGUAGACGAAGGGUAUAUAUAUAUAAGUGUGUGUAUAUGUGUGUUUGUGAAUUAACAAGAGGUUGUUGGUACAAGUGAAAUUUGACUCAAUUUCUUUAAAUAAGAUUUUGAGUUUAAGUUGUUUGAAUGAAAAAUAUGAUUAAAAUGAUUAGUAUUAAAAGUGGUCAAUUAAAUUCUUCAAUAAAAAAUAAAGUUAAUAGAUAUUUUGUAUAAUAAGAUGAUUAUCCAAAAUAUAUAUGUAAUGUGUUGACGUUGGUAAGCUGCAUGUACGUGCAUAAUAAUGCAUGCAAGGAAUUGCUGGGGAACUACGUUCCUACCUCAUGUCCACAGUUGUACCCAUAUAAGCUAGCUACAUACAUAUGUGAUGCUUCAAGGGUCACCCAAUGCCUGUGAGUAUUAUUGUGCCUGUUGCACCACCAUAUGUUGUUGAGAUAAUAAUAAAGAAGAUUUGGUUUGUUUCUAUA
Glycine soja is the source of this 840-nucleotide long non-coding RNA. RefSeq lists it as uncharacterized. The record is from RefSeq and is a predicted model, not a curated record. The transcript is spliced from 2 exons. NCBI's taxonomy places the organism in Eukaryota, Viridiplantae, Streptophyta, Magnoliopsida, Fabales, Fabaceae.